This 93-nucleotide transfer RNA is filed under the name Pseudomonadota bacterium. RNAcentral's name for it is "Proteobacteria bacterium (groundwater metagenome) tRNA-Ser". It matches the Rfam family "tRNA". Rfam says of the family: Transfer RNA (tRNA) molecules are approximately 80 nucleotides in length. Their secondary structure includes four short double-helical elements and three loops (D, anti-codon, and T loops). Further hydrogen bonds mediate the characteristic L-shaped molecular structure. tRNAs have two regions of fundamental functional importance: the anti-codon, which is responsible for specific mRNA codon recognition, and the 3' end, to which the tRNAs corresponding amino acid is attached (by aminoacyl-tRNA synthetases). tRNAs cope with the degeneracy of the genetic code in two manners: having more than one tRNA (with a specific anti-codon) for a particular amino acid; and 'wobble' base-pairing, i.e. permitting non-standard base-pairing at the 3rd anti-codon position. The record is from RNAcentral. Lineage: Bacteria; Pseudomonadati; Pseudomonadota. RNAcentral also lists the same sequence under 2 other names.
GGAGAGAUGCCCGAGAGGCUGAAGGGGCACGAUUGGAAAUCGUGUGAGGGCCUAAUAAGUCUUCCGAGGGUUCGAAUCCCUCUCUCUCCGCCA